RNAcentral lists this non-coding RNA (82 nucleotides) under unclassified sequences. The record is from RNAcentral.
AGAAAUUUGCCACCGGGUAAAUUACAGCGCUGUGACUGUGUCGUUAGGUCUUAGAAGACACAGCUCCAGCGCUUUUCUUUUG